Molecule: unclassified non-coding RNA, 684 nt
Filed under: Hevea brasiliensis (rubber tree)
Lineage: Eukaryota; Viridiplantae; Streptophyta; Magnoliopsida; Malpighiales; Euphorbiaceae
Source: RNAcentral
UUCUAAUUCAAGCAAGCUCUUUCUUUACAUAAAGGCUUUAUCUUUCCGUCUAUCUCUAUACGUAGAAGCUUUACCCUCAGCAGCCAUGGAAGCUCUACAUCAUAACCAUACUCUACAUCAAUCUCCUCCUCCUCAAACUUGCAUCUGCAAUUCAUUCUCUCAUCAGAAGAUUCUCCGGAAAACGCAUAUUCACCACCACCCAGUUCCUCACUUACCUCGAAGAAAAGAAUCCAGCGGUUCUCUACACAAAAGUGGUCAAGAGGCAGCGGGAAACACCGCCAGAAUGUGCAGUAUGUUUAUCGGAGUUUGCUGAGGAGGAAAACGUGAGAGACUUGAAGUGCAAACAUGUGUUCCACAAGGAUUGCCUGGACAAGUGGCUGCUGCAAUGCCGGUCUACUUGCCCACUUUGCAGGUGUAAGGUGUUGCCGGACAAGGUAGUCGCUGGUUAUCGCCAGUUUAAGGACGACCAGAUGGAUUAUGAUCGGAGCAAUGAGGAGAUGGUUUUCAUAGUAUCUCGUUUAGAUGGUAAUGGCUUUUUAAGUUUUUGGUGGUAAUGUUAGCUUAGCUUUGUGGGUUUGGAGAGCACAGCAGGAGGAAUUUUUAUUUAGGUUCUGCAGAAAUUAUGUAAAUGUAAUUAUUGUAAUUGUGGAUAUUAGAGGAUGACUACUUGAAGUUGUGAUUUGA